CCACGGCCAGGGUGGUUUCCGCAAGGGAUAGGCCUGGAUGCUCCAGCCGGAGGUGAGCAUAUAAAAAACACCGGCAGCC
RNAcentral lists this non-coding RNA (79 nucleotides) under unclassified sequences. RNAcentral describes it as "Proteo-phage-1 RNA". It matches the Rfam family "Proteo-phage-1 RNA". The record is from Rfam by way of RNAcentral.